AUUCUUUGAAGUGGGAAUUGAAGUGAGAGAGAGACGAGGGAGCUUUGGGGUUCUGUUUGGUGAGCGAGAAAAUGAGGAGGAAAGGGAUGGGGAUUGGAGGGAAAGUGCGUGAAGGAGUGAAGGAACUGCCAUCUUUUAAUUAGCUGACUGGUUUGGACUCCUCGCAGCAAUAUUAGUUAUUGAAGUUAUUCGCUUCUCUCUUCAAGCUUUAAAAUUUUAAAAAUUUCA
Molecule: long non-coding RNA, 228 nt
Organism: Hibiscus syriacus
Lineage: Eukaryota; Viridiplantae; Streptophyta; Magnoliopsida; Malvales; Malvaceae
Exons: 3
Source: RefSeq, a predicted model, not a curated record